UAGGGAAUCUUCCGCAAUGGACGCAAGUCUGACGGAGCAACGCCGCGUGAGUGAAGAAGGAUUUCGGUUCGUAAAACUCUGUUGUUAGAGAAGAACAGCGCAUAGAGUAACUGUUAUGCGUGUGACGGUAUCUAACCAGAAAGCCACGGCUAACUACGUGCCAGCAGCCGCGGUAAUACGUAGGUGGCAAGCGUUGUCCGGAUUUAUUGGGCGUAAAGCGAGCGCAGGCGGUCAAUUAAGUCUGAUGUGAAAGCCCCCGGCUCAACCGGGGAGGGUCAUUGGAAACUGUUUGACUUGAGUGCAGAAGAGGAGAGUGGAAUUCCAUGUGUAGCGGUGAAAUGCGUAGAUAUAUGGAGGAACACCAGUGGCGAAGGCGACUCUCUGGUCUGUAACUGACGCUGAGGCUCGAAAGCGUGGGUAGCAAACAGG
RNAcentral lists this ribosomal RNA (429 nucleotides) under Bacteroidota bacterium. RNAcentral describes it as "Bacteroidetes bacterium partial 16S ribosomal RNA". It matches the Rfam family "Bacterial small subunit ribosomal RNA", at positions 355 to 776 of the family's 1533-position model. The record is from RNAcentral. Lineage: Bacteria; Pseudomonadati; Bacteroidota.